GACCUCGAUCAUGCUGCACGAAGCCC
This 26-nucleotide ribosomal RNA is filed under the name Nigrospora oryzae. RNAcentral's name for it is "partial 28S ribosomal RNA". The record is from RNAcentral. Lineage: Eukaryota; Fungi; Ascomycota; Sordariomycetes; Amphisphaeriales; Apiosporaceae.